Molecule: ribosomal RNA, 284 nt
Filed under: uncultured Subdoligranulum sp.
Lineage: Bacteria; Bacillati; Bacillota; Clostridia; Eubacteriales; Oscillospiraceae
Description: partial 16S ribosomal RNA
Rfam family: Bacterial small subunit ribosomal RNA
Source: RNAcentral
CAAGUCGAACGGAGCUUAAGAGCUUGCUUUUUAAGCUUAGUGGCGAACGGGUGAGUAACGCGUGAGUAACCUGCCCUAGAUGGGGGACAACAGUUGGAAACGACUGCUAAUACCGCAUAAGCCCACGGUGCUGCAUGGCACUGCGGGAAAAGGAUUUAUUCGCUUCAGGAUGGACUCGCGUCCAAUUAGCUAGUUGGUGAGGUAACGGCCCACCAAGGCGACGAUUGGUAGCCGGACUGAGAGGUUGAACGGCCACAUUGGAACUGAGAAACGGUCCAAACUCC